Molecule: ribosomal RNA, 492 nt
Filed under: uncultured bacterium
Lineage: Bacteria
Description: partial 16S ribosomal RNA
Rfam family: Bacterial small subunit ribosomal RNA
Source: RNAcentral
AGUGAACGCUGGCGGUAGGCCUAACACAUGCAAGUCGAACGGCAGCACAGUAAGAGCUUGCUCUUACGGGUGGCGAGUGGCGUACGGGUGAGGAAUACAUCGGAAUCUACUUUUUCGUGGGGGAUAACGUAGGUAAACUUACGCUAAUACCGCAUACGACCUACGGGUGAAAGCAUGGGAUCUUCGGACCUUGCGCGAUUGAAUGAGCCGAUGUCGGAUUAGCUAGUUGGCGGGGUAAAGGCCCACCAAGGCGACGAUCCGUAGCUGGUCUGAGAGGAUGAUAGGCCACACUGGAAGUGAGACAGGGACCAGACUCCUACGGGAGGCAGCAGUGGGGAAUAUUGGACAAUGGGCGCAAGCCUGAUACAGCCAUGCCGAGUGGGUGAAGAAGGCCUUCGGGUUGUAAAGCCCUUUUGUUGGGAAAGAAAAGCAGCAGGUUAAUACCACGCUGUUCUGACGGUACCCAAAGAAUAAGCACCGGCUAACUUCGUG